CACGAGAACCUCCUGCAAGACCAGCCUCAGCUGCUCGCGCUGUGACGGAGGUCCAGUCUGGAUGGGCAAACCUUCCGCUUUCUCCUUCACAGGAUCUGCAAGGACAGAGAGGGAACUUCCCUGUUGGACACCCUUGUCGACUUCUUGGGGAACUUGUCAUCCAGGUCGAUGAUGAAACUGACCAGCAUGGCCUCCAGCACGCUGAGGCCCACCAGGGCGAACACACCCACGCAGAAGUUUGCUGAAAGGCAUCAGAGGCGUCGUCAGCGAGAGCGCGACAGGACGGAUGCGACCGCCCGCUCGCUCACCUAUGAUGGGCAGGCUGUCCUCGGUGGAGGGCAGCAGGUCCUUGAGGAUGAGCAGCAAGACGGAGAUGGACAGCAGGACAGUGAUCUUGAAGCUCAACUUCUCGCCCCGGGCUUCGCUGAUGAAGAAGGACGCCACGUCCAACACCAGCAGGUAGAAGAGCGGAAUGAUGAAGUUGAUGACAUACAGCAUUGGCUUCCGCACGAUUUUCACCUGUGCGCAAUGGCCAAUUAUGAUGAGAAACAUAAUCUGAGGAGCUCAACUGUGAAUUCUUGGAAUGCAGCAGAAGUGGACUUGACGCAAACCUCACCUGGUAAACCAGCGAACUCCAAUUCUCCCAUCUCUCGGUCUUCUGAGUGAUUUCCAAGUGCUUCAGGCUCCACUCCCCACGAGUCACCAUAGACUGCUCCGAGAUGUUUGUGAGAAAUUCGUCGCCGGCGAAGGCCCCGACUCGUAUGGCCUGAUCUGAUUUGGGAUUGGGACGACAGGCGUUGAAGAAGCUUCCUUUCCGACUCUUAGCCCGCCGUCCACUCUUACCGUCACUGAUCAUGGAGGAGAAGGUGAUGUUGCAGCUCUGCCGGUCGAAGGGGAAAUUCCAAAGGUCCAGCGUGCACGUGGAUGUCAGCCGCUGACGGGCGCUCUUGUGAAUCAUUCCGUUGGAGAACACCCUCACAUGCUCACUCUCCUGGACGCUCCCGCUAUCCGAGGCACUGCGAUUGGUCAGAGAAAAAUAAAGACAAACUUUGUGUGUCUUUCCAGGCAUGACUUCCUAGGACUUGACCUCAAGGAUAGCCAUGCCAACCACAUCUCAUGUUCAGUGAAACUGAAUUUUAUGGAAGACGCUGUGACCCUAAAAUGGCUGCGCCAAACCAAAAUUCCAGACUUCUGCGACUUUUCCGUCAGAUAUUGCCGCUGUGUGCGUCCAUUAGUUGUGCAAACGCACGCACAAAGGUCUUGUUCUUAUUGUGCGGUUUGAUUACACGUGACGUUCUGCAAACGCACGGAAGCCGCUAUUCAAAUCGCUCACAAUGAUUAUAUAAUAGUCAUGUCUUGUGUUACACUGAACAUGUGUGAGACACAAAAGGCACAGUGCGGCGGACUCGAGAGUGCCACCUGCUCUUACGUCAGCAACAACGAUGGAAAGAUGAGCUAAGUCAACUCACUCCUCUUGGAUGUUUACGUUAGGCGUCCACAGUUUGGAGCUGGGAAAGGUGAAUUCGGUGAUGUUGCAGAAAUCGGACGGUUUCCACCUGAGGAAAUCGUUCUUCCAGAGCUGCCAAACAGAAAAGAUAAAACGAGCACCACAUAGAAAUUGUUAAUUUGAUACGCGUCGACUGAGAGGCUUCUCACCAUUUGAAUCCACACGUGGCUCAUGAAGGUUUGAAGCUUCUCAUCCUGCGCAUUGACAACAAAGAAAAUUAAAGUAGAGAAACUAUUUUCAUUUUGCGUUCUAAAAUUUUUGCAGGCUGAUGCAAAAAUGUGUAUGACGUCAAAAAUUGACGUCAACCUGUUGCCAGCCAAUCGCAGGGCACACAGAGGCGAACAACCAUCCGCACUCGCACUCACACCUAGGGGCAAUUUGGAGUGCUCAAUCGGCCUACCAUGCAUGUUUUUGGUAUGUGGGAGGAAACCGGGGAACCCACGCAGGCACGGGGAGAACAUACAAACUCUACAGGGAGGGCCGGAAGUGGAGUCGAACCCGCACGCCCCAAAUUAUAAGACGCUGUGCUAACCAGUGCGCCACAAAAGAAAACCACACAAAACGACAAAGAAAUUCUAAACUCUCAGCAUAAAACACUCAAAAUGAGACAGCUGGCAUUAACUGACAUCUGAUACAUGAAAUACAGAAAAUAUCAAGUACACUUUUUUUGUGACUUACCACCUGAAAGAUGCCGUAUAGCAGCAUGUUUAUCUUCACGUCAGUGACCUGCCUCCAGUCCUUGACGGGCCUGACGUUGGCCAGGUAUUCGUUGGAGGAGCUCAGCUUUAAGUGCUCCAGCAGAUCCGAGUAGGAACACUCGUUCGCCCGGUUGCACGAGGCUACAAAGACAAGUUGCCGACUCAUCAAAAUAACUUUGAAUGAGAUCGAACCGCAUGGACUCACCGGCCAGGCUCAAAAGGACGACAGCUCUCCAGGCCGACAUGCUCGUUUGCCUCAGCCGCUAAAACGGCGGCUUGAUAAAGUGCGCGCGGUGGGAGGCUUGUGUCAACAGCACAAUAAUGGGCCGCUGAACGCAUCGCGGCGCUCCUUCAGCCUAUUAUACCCAAUGUGACCAAUUGAGUCAACAGAUGUGGAAAACGUUUACACGAGUAAAAUGUGACAUCACAAUGAGGACAAUUCAGGCACGUCCUCGCUCAGUCAAAUUAAAAACUUAUAUACUGUAAAAUUAACAUGGUUUUUAUCUUUAUUGUGUUCGCUUAUUAGAUGAUUUAUUGUAAGUAAAAAUAUGAGCACAUAUGAUCUGACGCAUAUUAACAAUAUUACUAAACUAAAAUAAAAAAAAAAUAAAAAAUUACUAAAUUGCUCCA
Long non-coding RNA from Syngnathus acus (greater pipefish), 2835 nucleotides. RefSeq lists it as uncharacterized. The transcript is spliced from 2 exons. NCBI's taxonomy places the organism in Eukaryota, Metazoa, Chordata, Actinopteri, Syngnathiformes, Syngnathidae. The record is from RefSeq and is a predicted model, not a curated record.